This 28-nucleotide small RNA is filed under the name Bombyx mori (domestic silkworm). Its description in RNAcentral is "ovarian small RNA-26240". Lineage: Eukaryota; Metazoa; Arthropoda; Insecta; Lepidoptera; Bombycidae. The record is from RNAcentral.
UCAUGCGGCGGUAUCUCGCUCUGAGGCU